AGCAUAUAUCGUGCAAUACGGCCAAGCAUUUGGGACUCUGAAUCCUAGGACCACGGUUCGAAUCCGUGCCGGGCUA
RNAcentral lists this transfer RNA (76 nucleotides) under Promethearchaeota archaeon. RNAcentral's name for it is "Candidatus Lokiarchaeota archaeon tRNA-Gln". The stretch from base 11 to 68 matches the Rfam family "tRNA", at positions 10 to 63 of the family's 71-position model. Rfam says of the family: Transfer RNA (tRNA) molecules are approximately 80 nucleotides in length. Their secondary structure includes four short double-helical elements and three loops (D, anti-codon, and T loops). Lineage: Archaea; Promethearchaeati; Promethearchaeota. The record is from RNAcentral.